This 292-nucleotide ribosomal RNA is filed under the name uncultured bacterium. RNAcentral's name for it is "partial 16S ribosomal RNA". It matches the Rfam family "Bacterial small subunit ribosomal RNA", at positions 505 to 796 of the family's 1533-position model. The record is from RNAcentral.
GUGCCAGCAGCCGCGGUAAGACAGAGGCCCCAAGCGUUAGGCGGAAUCACUGGGCUUAAAGCGUGUGUAGGCGGAUCGUUAAGUGUCUUGUGAAAUCCCACGGCUCACCCGUGGAACUGCUGGGCAUACUGGCGAUCUUGGGCCAACUAGGGGCAGCCGGAACAAGCGGUGGAGCGGUGAAAUGCGUAGAUAUCGCUUGGAACGCCGAAGGUGAAAACAGGCUGCUGGGGUUGUGCCGACGCUGAGACACGAAAGCCAGGGGAGCAAACGGGAUUAGAUACCCCGGUAGUCC